RNAcentral lists this ribosomal RNA (189 nucleotides) under Triticum aestivum (bread wheat). Its description in RNAcentral is "partial small subunit ribosomal RNA". The record is from RNAcentral. Lineage: Eukaryota; Viridiplantae; Streptophyta; Magnoliopsida; Poales; Poaceae.
AUGCUACUCAAGACAUCGACCUCCUCCUUCCUACUUAAUGGUGCGGCGGGAAAGAAAAUUUGGCUUUGUUGGGGACUUAGACAGGGCGACCCCCUGUCCCCGCUACUCUUCAUCAUCGCCAUAGAUCCGCUUCACAGGCUGCUCCAGCGUGCCACGGAGCUUGGCCAGCUCGACCCGAUCCCGAGAAGA